Molecule: ribosomal RNA, 497 nt
Filed under: uncultured bacterium
Lineage: Bacteria
Description: partial 16S ribosomal RNA
Rfam family: Bacterial small subunit ribosomal RNA
Source: RNAcentral
GAUGAACGCUGGCGGCGUGCCUAAUACAUGCAAGUCGAGCGAACGGACGAGAAGCUUGCUUCUCUGAUGUUAGCGGCGGACGGGUGAGUAACACGUGGAUAACCUACCUAUAAGACUGGGAUAACUUCGGGAAACCGGAGCUAAUACCGGAUAAUAUUUUGAACCGCAUGGUUCAAAAGUGAAAGACGGUCUUGCUGUCGCUUAUAGAUGGAUCCGCGCUGCAUUAGCUAGUUGGUAAGGUAACGGCUUACCAAGGCAACGAUGCAUAGCCGACCUGAGAGGGUGAUCGGCCACACUGGAACUGAGACACGGUCCAGACUCCUACGGGAGGCAGCAGUAGGGAAUCUUCCGCAAUGGGCGAAAGCCUGGCGGAGCAACGCCGCGUGAGUGAUGAAGGUCUUCGGAUCGUAAAACUCUGUUAUUAGGGAAGAACAUAUGUGUAAGUAACUGUGCACAUCUUGACGGUACCUAAUCAGAAAGCCACGGCUAACUACGUG